GAACGCUGGCGGCAUGCCUAAGACAUGCAAGUCGAACGAGAUGGCUUUGAAAACUGCGUACUUGUACAAAGUUGGAUUAAGAUUUCCAUCUAGUGGCAGACGGGUGAGUAAUACAUAAGUAAUCUACCUCAGAGACUGGGAUAACGUUUGGAAACGAACGCUAAUACCGGAUGAUUCUUCUUACACAAGUAAGAAAGCUAAAAGGAGCGUUUGCUUCACUUUGAGAUGAGCUUAUGGCGUAUUAACUAGUUGGUGGGGUAAUGGCCUACCAAGGUGACGAUGCGUAGCCGAACUGAGAGGUUGAUCGGCCACAUUGGGACUGAGACACGGCCCAAACUCCUACGGGAGGCAGCAGUUAGGAAUAUUCGUCAAUGGGGGAAACCCUGAACGAGCAAUGCCGCGUGAGUGAUGACGGUCUUUAUGAUUGUAAAACUCUGUUGUAAGGAAAGAACCCUUAUCAUAGGAAAUGAUGAUAAGCUGACGGUACCUUACCAGAAAGCCCCGGCUAACUACGUGCCAGCCGCUGC
RNAcentral lists this ribosomal RNA (527 nucleotides) under uncultured bacterium. RNAcentral describes it as "bacterial SSU rRNA". It matches the Rfam family "Bacterial small subunit ribosomal RNA", at positions 31 to 518 of the family's 1533-position model. The record is from RNAcentral.